This is a long non-coding RNA of Cyprinus carpio (common carp), 2343 nucleotides long. RefSeq lists it as uncharacterized. The record is from RefSeq and is a predicted model, not a curated record. Lineage: Eukaryota; Metazoa; Chordata; Actinopteri; Cypriniformes; Cyprinidae. The transcript is spliced from 3 exons.
CCCUCUCCCCCCUUUAGAGCGUCUUUUCUCCGUGUCGCUUCAAACGUACACAUAUAGAGGAACCGCGCCGCGCCGCGUCUCCGUCUCUCGGCGGUGUGGAUGUACGCGGGAAUCGCGCGGAUCUGAGGCCUGCUGCACGCUUUGAUUGAUAUGAAGCAGAUCCAGAGAAGUGAGCCCUGAGGAUCCUGUGCUGUAAUCUGAGACGUCCGUCCGUCUGUCUGUGUAUGUGUGUGUGGGAUUAAUAUGACAACAGCACACACAUACACACACACUGACAGAAGGCCUAUAGCAACUCCCCCUAAGCAGGAGAGACGCUCAGGCAGACAGACAGACAGGUGAUCCUCUCUGACUCAGACGGGACGGGACGGGACCCAAAACCUCAAUACCACACUCACAGGGUCGAUGGCGGUAGCAUGAGGUCAGUGGGUGAAGGACGCAGCGGUCAGAAAUAAACUUAAUGCAGUUUCACUCAAAUAUGAGAGAGAAAACUGAAGAUGAAAGGAAAGGCGUGACAAUUAGGCUACUGUUUCAUCUUUAAUCAUUUUUUUUGCAUCUGUCAAUCAUUCAGUCAUAAGUUCCGUUUGUUUCUUGAAUAUGAAGACAACUUUCAGAUCAUAUCUGCUCCUAAAACAUGUCUUAAAUUACCGUGAGAAAGACGGUGACACAGCACAAGAGAAGGGACUGAUUGUUAGAGGCCAGACGUGUGUUGUGUGUGUGUGUGUGUAUUAAUAGCCUGUAAUCGCCUCUGGGCGUCCUGAUAAAUUCCCACGACCUCUGAUGGACACCAUUGUCUCUCUCCAUCUCUCAGUUUUCCAGGUUUUUCUCUCUCAUUAUAACUCUCAGUCUGCUGAAUCAAGAACACUCUAUCUCUCUCUCUUUCGCGUGUUGUUUCUCUCUUUCCACUGGUUCAGUGUCGCUUGCGUUGUGGCCCUUCACGCAUUCGUGUGGAAACUCUCGUUUUCUGCCGUUUUGCACACCAUUUUGCAGUUAUGUAAGAAAAAAACCUUUGCUAACUUCCUAAUUUGAUCGCGAAUGGUUGACUGCUCCUCUGUCACACUGAGUUUACACGCAACACUCAACCCAACCCAUUUAAAUAGACAUGAAUCAUUGAAAAAGAUCCCAAUUCUGUGACAAACGUGGAGAGAUCACAAAUGAACAACACAUGUACAGCGUCAAUAAAUAUGAAAUAAUGCCCACCCCUGCUGAAAAAACCCCCCCAAUAUAAACCAUCACAGAAUUUGUAAUGGAUUUACUGGUUAUAAUGAGAAAUUGUACCAUAAUGGAAACUUUAAUGCUGCCUUUUGGUCUCUAAUGGUAAUUGGUUGCCUUCGGUGGCUAUAAAACCACUGAAAUUUGAUGGUUUGUAAUGUUUAUAAAGGUAUUUGUAGUGCAAACCAUUAGACUUUCUGUGAUGGUUUCUAUUGUUGUUGUUUUUUCAGCAAAGCGUUAAUCCACUUUUAUCUCAAACAAGCACUGAAUAGUAGCUCUUCAGAAUUAUACCUUAUUAUCCUUACAGUUCUACAAUGUUAUUAGUUUUUAUAUGAACCAUAAAUCAAUAAGUCAUUGUUAAAUAGCCUAACAGUAGGCCUAUCUGGAGUGUAGCCUAUAUGUGAUUCUCCUCUGUUUUUGUACGUUUGUGUUGUUUUAUGUCAUGUAAAAAAUGUAUCGUGAGUGUAUUAUGUGGUUUUAAUCUGUCAUCAGUUUUGGAGGGAGUUUUACUGUCCUCUAGAGGAAAAUACUGGUACAGACACUCACAGAGUAUAAAUACUUCUCUAUCUCUUAUUAUUCAUCCUGUUGCUUAUCUAAUGUGUUUUGUUUGUAUUAAACUUGUUGAUUGCUACACAAUUUACCAUUGUGCUUUUUAAUAAAUUCUCCAGUACUGCUAUUAAUUCUUCAGUAUUGCUAUAUUUUGCCUAUCCAUCUGAGCAUUUGUGAUUUUACUUCACAUGCCAUAUUUUGCAUUCAUCACAUUGAACUGCAGUUGCUUGACAAUGCAAAUCUACAACCUCAUUGAGGGAAAGAGAUAUUUAUAAGGUGUGAUUUGAAUGUAGCCAAAGCAGCAGAUCUGUGUGGUCUGUUUCACAGCAGUUUUCCAUCUGAAAUCACAGAUCGACGAGCUAGAAUACACCUACUAAGCCAACUACAUCAGGAGGAGCGUCUGUACAAACAAACCAGAAUGUUUGCAUCUGUUAUGAUAGAAAUAGUAGUCUCUUUUCCCCCCAUAUGUCAAAAAAAUCCUAAAUGAUUCCAGUAAGAAAAUUGUUCUAAUUAGAAUUUCUAUCAUAACUUGGAACCAUUCCAGCGAGAUUUCUUAUAGGACUUUUAUUCUUUCUUUCUUUCUUU